This is an RNA transcript of Halichondria panicea, 1897 nucleotides long. It is a transcript of the gene named abasic site processing protein HMCES-like, with no coding region annotated. The transcript is spliced from 2 exons. The record is from RefSeq and is a predicted model, not a curated record. Lineage: Eukaryota; Metazoa; Porifera; Demospongiae; Suberitida; Halichondriidae.
UCAUAACGAUUGUUGUAUGAUGUACGUUGUGUGUAUGACAGUUUGAUUACCCGCGGCUUAGAAUGCCACGUUAUCAAAAUUUAUUUCAUCGCUAAUAUAUUCAUGACGACUAUAUAUGUCUCAAAGUUGACACGCCUAUGUCAUUAGAGUACCAAGCUCAUUUGAACCUGCUCUCGAUCCUAUAUAACAAUGGCUACACCGAGUUUAUUAGUGGUAGGAUUUGAUUGUGAGUUUGUGAAGCCUCCAUUGGUCCAGUCAGAGUGUCCAGUCUGUCUCCAUGUCAUUCGUGAGCCCCAUCAGGUCACAUGCUGUGGCAAAAGAUUCUGUCAAUUAUGUAUCCAGCGAGUCAAGGAUACCGACAAAGCGUGUCCAACAUGUAAGAAAGAGGAAUUUUUUGAAUAUCCUGACAUAGGACAUAAGCAAUUUGUCUAUGGCCAGAGUGUUUAUUGUAGCUAUCGAAAAGACGGGUGUGAGUGGACGGGGGAACUGGGACAGCUUGAUGAGCACCUCAACACGAAUCCACGACUAGAGAAAGAAAAAAUAUCGUGUGACUUUGUUAAGGUUGUUUGUAUCCAUAACUGUGGAGCAAAGUUACAGCGGCGGUACAUUCAAAUCCACCAGACAGAGCUUUGCUCCAAGCGUCCUUUCAGUUGUGAACAUUGCCAUGACUUUGAUUCUACUUUUAUUGAUGUAGCUGAAUGCCAUUGGCCUGUGUGUGGAAGUUUCCUUGUCCCCUGCCCUAAUGAGUGUGGUUCACAUCCCCAACGUCAAAACCUAGACAACCAUGUUGCUGUUGAGUGCCCAUUGGCAUUUAUUAACUGUCAUUUCCACCAAAUGGGUUGUGCUGUGAAACUUAUUCGUAGAGAAAUGCCAGAACACUUGAGAGAGAGCCUCCUCACACAUAUGUCCCUUUUAGCCACCAGUCAUGUCAAGCAACAAGCUCAAAUUGCAAGUCUAAUCACUGAUAAUGAUGAACUAAGAAGCAAAAACACCAACCUGGAACAAAAUCUUUUAUCACAUGAGACCAAUUUUGCUGCUCUACAGGCGCAGGUCACCACGUUAGGGCAAGAAAACGAAUCACUCAAUGCCAAAAGUACUGAACAGCAAAUUGAAAUUUCAAAACUCAAUGUUGAUUGUAUUCGGCUGGUUGCUGAAAAUAGUCAUCUUAAGACGAAUGUUUUUGAGUUGGAACCGUUGCGACAAACUUUUAAAGCUUCCUUACCUCUUGUGUGCACUAGACAUGUUAAACUGAGUCUCCCUGUACUGGUAAUGAUGGACUUCUACCAGCAUAAACAUGCUGAUGAUAACUGGUACUCCCCUCCAGUUUACACCCAUCACCGGGGAUACAAGAUAUGUAUGAGAGUGGCUGCUAAUGGCGAUGACAGUGGUACAGGAACGCACGUCUCUAUAUACGUGAACUUUAUGAAAGGGGAGUUUGAUAAUUUGCUAAAAUGGCCAUUCCGUGGCAUCAUCUCGAUACAGCUACUUGAUCAAGACGGACAUAAAAAUCAUAAAACUGACUCAAUUGUCUAUGAUGAUACUGUUGGAGACAAUGACUGUAGCAGAGUGAUGGAAGGAGAUACAAACGGGUGGGGAUGGGGAAAAGCUGAGUUCAUUGCUCACUCUCAACUGGAGCCCAAGUACUUAAAGAACAACACUCUACUCUUUCAAAUCUUCAAAGUUGAGCUUCAAUGACAAUAAUUUCAUCUUACAAAAAUUGCGAAGCGCAUGCACAGUGACAUCUUGAUCACAAUGUCCCGUGCUACUGUCCAGUCAGCACGCCCAUGUCACCAGACUCCUCUCUGCAUCUGAAGGACCGGCUACCAGACGAGUGCUACAAGUAAUGAAGUGGGGUCUAGUGCCCAGCUGGUACAAAGGCGAACCUGGAAAAUUCUCC